This is a non-coding RNA of Pelobates cultripes (western spadefoot toad), 237 nucleotides long. The record is from the annotation of a GenBank genome assembly. NCBI's taxonomy places the organism in Eukaryota, Metazoa, Chordata, Amphibia, Anura, Pelobatidae.
CUAGAGUGUGACUUUAACUCCUUCCCGACGUUCGGGCGUGCUAUGCUGUCCUUGAAAAGGAGGCUUUAAUGCCGUUAUCGCAGCAUAGCACGUACUAAUGAUCAGGCAACCUCUAUACUUACCCUCCUCGCGGGAUCUGAUCUGGGUGACUGCCUGACAACCAAGGCCUGUCCCCCUUCAGCCAAUUCCGCCAAUCUGAGUCAUGUGAUCUCGAUGAUCCUGCAAUCGCAUGACUCG